CAACAGCAAGUCCCUGCAAAGUUUAUAGUCAUAUAGAAUUAAGUAAUUCAGCAUGCUGCUUAAUACUAGAUCAAUAUGUGAAAUAAAUUACAAUUCUUUAUAUCAGUAAUAGAUAAAAAUGUAAAAUUACCCUUUACAACAGCAACAGAAAAUAUGAAAUGCUAGGGAAUAAUUCUAAUAAAAAGAGGAGCUGACCAAUGUGGAAAAGAUAGAAAGCUUUACUGAAAUACACUUAAAGACAUAAGUAAAUGGAGACAUACUAUUUUUAUGAAUAGGAAGACUCAUAAAAAUAUCUGUUUUUUCAAAAUCUACAAAUUCCAUGUAAGUCCAAUGAAAAUACUAACAGGCUUUUUCCUGGAACCUGAUGGUUGAAUAAACAAUUUAUAUGGAAGAGUAAAGGAACAAGAAAAGUUAAAGUGAUUUUUGAUGGAUAAGAAGAGCAGGAAGAAUUGACAUACAAAUGGUGCAGGCUUAUUAAAAACAUCAGUGAACGAGGCAGUGUGGCACCAGCACAGGGAUACACAAACAGAUAAAGUAAAGGGAGGAGACUGGAGAACCCAGUAACAGCCCCCCACGUAUGACAAUAUGUGACAGCAGUGACAUCAUAAUCAGUAGGGGUGGGGUAAGGAUGGACUAGUCAGUCAAUGAUGGUUAUUUAAAUAGAAAAAAGAAUUGGAUCUUUGACUAAAGAACAACAAAAACCCAAACAAAAAAUCCAGGUGGAUUAAAGACCUAAAUAUGAAAAGAAAUACAGAAGAAAACAGAUGUAGGGGAGGACUUCCUGAGUAAAACACAAAAAGCACAAAGUAAAAGUUCAACAACAAACUUACUGAGAACAGAUGAAUGAAACCUUGCCUGUCCUAUAAGGAAUACAGUCAUCUGCCAGAAGAAAAAUGGUGAUUCUUCCCAGUCCAAAGGUGAAGAUGGUGACUGUGAAAGUAUCAGCUUUAGCCAGACCACUGAUGAAGCUCCCAGAUGUCACAGCAUCCAUGGGCUUGUGAUCUCAGGUGAAGGCAUUGAACCCUGAGCCCUGGAUUCCCAUCUCUUCACUUGCUCCCUCCACCACCCCACCCCCAUAUUCAGAAUGGCCUCUAGGCUUCUAGGUUUGUGUCUUUAAUGGCACCUAGGCAAUAAAUAAAAAAUACAGUGCAGUGCUGACUGCAUCUUCCCUACA
Long non-coding RNA from Homo sapiens (human), 1174 nucleotides. RefSeq annotates it as TIRAP antisense RNA 1. The transcript has 2 exons. NCBI's taxonomy places the organism in Eukaryota, Metazoa, Chordata, Mammalia, Primates, Hominidae. The record is from RefSeq and is marked validated.